UUCAGCCUGUUGUUUAGAUAUUUUUAUUUCAGAAAUGAUUCCUAACAAAAAUGGAGAAUAUAAAAACACAAUCAAAGCAGUAAAGUCCAUAUUAUGAAGUGUUUGCUGUAUCAGACAAUCAUGUUUCCAGUCUGCUGCAUCACAACAAUUGAAAUGCAAAUAUAAAUGAUUCACAACAAUGAAAACAAUAUAGUGCAGAUACACAUGGUGCUGUAAUGAAUCUGCUCUUAAACACAAUAACAAAAUACAUUUUCCAAGAGAGAUGAUAAUGAUUCACAUCAGAGUGAAGAACGAAUACAUUUACAACUGGUUUCUAACAUUUCUUAUAGAUCGAACUGAUCACUGAUAGAAACAGAAGAAUAUUCAAAAUGAUACUCUGAGAGAUACAUGAAUGAGAUAUGGAUAAAAUUAAAUCACAUAAAACAAAAAAGCACAUAAUCAUUAUAACUGGGGCCACCGUGGCUCAGGGGGUUGGGAAGCGUAUCUUGUCUGGGCAAGACACUUUACCCUACCGCCUACUGCUGUUAGCCAGAGGGGGCCGAUGGCGCAUUCCACCAGUGUGUGAAUGCGAGAGUGAAUGAAUUGUGGCAUUGUAAAGCGCUAUAUAAAUCCAAUCCAUUAUGAAAUAAAAUAUGAGCAGAAAUAUAGAAGAAUUAAGUGUGUGUCUGAGCUGAAAGCUGCUCUCCUCUCCUGGUUUUCUGUAUCACACAGACCACAACAACACAAAGCAUCACCUGCAGACCGCUGAGCAGUAUCCACCUGACUCUGUAGAAGGUCGAUUAAACCCCAAAGGGCUCUCUGUGGAUCAGAACAAAUGCUUCUGCUGACACACACUCAUUCUCUGACUUAUAACCUGCACACACAUACUCUCCUGCAUCUUCCAGUGAGACAUUAGAGAUUAUCAGGCUGUCACGGGAACAAGUGAUUCUUUUGUCACUGCAGAACUUAUCAUCGUACACAAUUUUGCCUUCUGUUUGGAUCGACUUCAUGAACAUAAAGUCCGAAGUACUAGUUUUCCAAUCAUCAGAGCAUCUCAUAGUGACUUCAUCUCCCUCUGAGAAAACCUUUACUGCAGGUGGACCAAAUUUAGGGCACACGAAAAGCCAGUACUGAUGUAUUACUUUUUCACCUUCACAGUAGUAGAUACCUGAAUCAUUUAACGUUAAUGAUGGAAGUACCAGCGAGAAGUUUCGACCAAUUUCUUGAUCAGCAUCGUAGGAAAUUUCCUUCAUCCAAACUGGGGGCUGGUCAUGAAUGGGGUCCAUGAAGGGACACUCCAGCACAGCUGUGUCUCCCUCUGAAGCAUAACGUAGCUUUGUUUGUUUGGUCAAACGUACAGAGUAAGUGCUCACACACUGCUGUUGGUUCAUCACCAGGCAGAUGUAAGACGUUGGUCGUGUGUUGACAUGAAGAAGUGAUGCGUUUGUCACCUGCAGGAAACUUUCUUGGACUUUAUUCACCUUCAAAAUUGUUCUGUCUUCGAAACUACUCAGCCCGGCUUGUUGCCACUCCCCGUAAUGUCUGAUCCAACGCACCGUCAGAUUCUCACCUGCUCCUUUACAUCGCACGUCUUCAGUGGCAUCAGGACUUAUGAUAGAUUCUUCCCACCUUACUGUCUUGCACACAGUCAGGCUGAUGUUUCUCUCAUAUGUCACGCUGCCCUGAGUCCAGCACACAUCUUGGUACAGUCCAGAGUCUGAGUGGGCCAGGUUGUUGAGAGUAAAUGAAGGAGAACCAUGAAAUGUCUCAGGAAAUGAGAGUCGUCCUGUCAGGUCUUCAUGUACUGUGAAUUUUCUGUUCCGGGGGUCAGAGAUGUUCCACAGGACCAGAGUAUCUUCACCAACACGUCUGGAGGUGAUGCAGGAGCUGUUUUGAUCUGGGAGCUUGAACUGUAAAGAGCCUCCUUCUUUUCUUAUGGCGAUAAAUUCUUCUGCAUGAAUGUUGCUGAUGAGAGUGAACAGCAGGGAGAAGCAGAGCUGUGCGACUGCAGCCAUCCUGCUCAGAGGUCUCCUGCUGUCGGAGGGGCUUUUUCAACCCAGGUACGUGAUCCAUGGUCCAAUCAGCAGCCCACUGCACUUCAGUAGAGGAACAACCUGCAGAAAUUCUUAAAACACAGGACAAAACACAAGCAGCUAACACAGACUUCUUAUGGCAACUGUUGGGAGAAAGAAGUGAUGAAAUAGAUGUCGGCUUUCUCACCCAACCAUGGACAUGCCGUUGGAAAGCUGACAGCUCACAGAUUCUGAUGACGGGUCUACACUUUGUGUUUACGUCUUUUUUUGCGCUAGAUUCUGAAGCUGCAGGUCUUAUCACUCUCCAACCAAAAUUAACUGAACCAGCAGCAAAAGAAGAUCCCAACUACAUUUCACAAUUCGCGUCACAUAAACACCGUCAUGAAUUCCCUACGUUAAGAAGUGGCUCGGCCUUCCAAAAUGCCUCCGCAGCGCUAGACUCUACAGCGACGGGAUACUGUCAUUGCCCAUUGCUAGUCUGGUAGAGGAGUUUAAAUGUGCAAAAGUGAGGCUUGAGAUGUCACUCAUGGACUCCCGGGACCCCAUAGUGAGAGGCACUGCUCCCACCUUGGAAAGGGGAGGAAGUGGACUCCAGCCACAUCUGUGCUACAGGCCAAAUCUGCUCUUCGCCAUCAUGACGUGGUGGGUCACAUCCAACAGGGCAGAGGAGGAUUUGGUCUUGGAACAGUAACACCUCUGUGGCAACAGGCAUCCGUAACCAAACGUCGGAAAAUGGUGAUGGUGGAGGUGCGUCAACAGGAGGAAACAGCCAGACAUGCCAGAGCCGUAGCGCUGGCCAAGCAGGGUCACUGGAUGAAUUGGGAGAGUGUUGAAAAGAGGAACUCUCAUGGAGUGAAAUCUGAGGAAUGGAGUCUAAUAGACUAAGUUUCAUCAUCUGAGCGACAUACGAUGUGCUACCUUCCCCAAUAAAUCUGCAGCUGUGGUUUGGAAAGGACCCAUCCUGCCCCCUGUGUACAGUCCCAGCAAUACUCAAGCACAUCUUGGUUGGUUGUAGGACUAGCCUUACUCAGGGCAGAGACACAUGGAGACACAACCAGGUCCUCAGGUGUCUAGCCAAGAAAGUUGAGUGCAAGAGAAAAUCCAUCAACACUCAACCUUUCACAAACCAAGAGGAUCGUCGGCCUUCAUCAACAUUUGUCCGGGAGGGAGACAAGCCGAGGACAAGCCCCUCAACCCCGGACCUGGGCCCGCUGAAGGUUGCCAGGGAUUGGUAGAUGCAAGUGGACUUGGAUCAGAGGCUAAUGUUUCCCUCAAACAUCGUAACAACUACUCUGAGACCAGACCUCAUCCUUUGGUCCAACUCCCGAAAACUUGCGUACGUCAUUGAGCUGACGGUACCAUGGGAGGAAGCAAUUGAGCGUAAGAAGCUGCGGUAUGCCAACUUGGCAGCUGAGGCAGAGAACAGAGGCUGGAAGAUCAAGGUGCGCCCAGUGGAAGUGGGGUGCAGGGGCUUUGUUGCCAGUACAACAGCAAAACUGCUUAGAGAGAUUGGGAUCAGAGGACAGCGCAAUGGCAGGCUAUAAGAGAAUUAGCUAACACUGCUGAAAGGACCAGUCACUGGCUAUGGUUAAAAAGGGCUGACAUCACUUUGGCAGCUAAGGCAGUCAGCUAACCGCGGCACACAUGCCCAGGAUGGAUCAUCCCGUGGAGGGCAUGCCUAAGUAGAGGGCUCUUCUUCUCUUUCCUGGGAGGCAGUGGGGAGGUAGAGCGUACAGCCUGAUCUGGCGGAGAGGUAUGGGAAGCCAGAUUGGGCGCCCCCCUUCCGGCUCUCCUCUCUGCUCUCUCCUAUCUUGUCUCUUUUGUUUUACUUCUCUCCAUCACCUUUUCUAUCCCUUUAAAGAAGUGAGCCUCCAUAAAUGUUAAAGAGGUAAGUAUUACUUGUCAGUAGCAAGGAAUUGAUAGAAGAAAAUAAAUUGUAGAAAACUAAACAGAAGAAAGAAGAGAAAAAACAAUUUAACAUAAACCAGUGACACACUCCAGGGCCUGAUCAACCCUGGCAGAGCCUCCUUGGAUGAGGGUGUCUAGUGAUAAAGGCCGAAACACCUGAUGAUUCCAAGGUCCACUACUGACGAUGUGUCCCAAAAUUGAAUAUGAUAAUCUAGAUCAGAUCUCUAAUCCCUACACAUAACCAAGGAAGGUUAAAAAAUGGCAGAUUAGCCUGGGUAAAAGACCAAAAAACCCUGUUAAGUUCAGGCAUACAACGAUGUGUCCUGCUGGUAAAGUUUAUGGGCUGCCUUUCCUCAUAACAGCCAUCCCUCAAGACUUUCUCUAUUCGAAGCAGUGCAUUAUCAGGGAUUGUAACAUCUAGUCCUUUUACUGAACCACCACAAUAAAAUCCCACUUCCUGCUGAGCUCUCUCUCUCUCAGUGUACUUCAAGAACAGUUUCCCAUCUAAACAUCUCUCUUUUCUGCAUUAUUCGCUUGCUUAUUCCACACCAGUCUACCUUUGUGUACAGCACUGUUGGCCGCUGUUUUUUUUUAUUUUUAUUUAACUGUCUUCUUCUACUGCAGAAUAGUUUUUAGGUUAUCUGCUUUAAAAAGCCAGGCCAGGAAAAUCUCCUUCAUCUUUGUCUGUGUUUUAUGUUCAGUUACUUUGACGCAAAGGCAUCUGCUGUGAUGCUUACACCUCUGAUGAAGUGUCACAAGUGUCAGCUUUCUUUUUAUAGAUGUAAAAAUAUGGAUAUGUACUGAUAAAUGAUCAGAAUUAUAAUAAUUUCUGACUGUCUGAGGCACAAUUUCCCCAAUCCAAAUCAAAUCGUGGAUCGAAUCGAAUCAGGACCUUGUGAAUUAGAAUCGAAUCGAUUCUAGAAAUCAGUGACGAUACCCAGCCCUGGCGGAGCAUUCACAGGCUUUGUGUAUUAGUUGCUGUUUCCUAAAAACAAUCAAGUGUUUGAAUGAAAUCCCUUUUCUCAUUAAAUGUCAAAGACCUAAAUUUAUAGUACUGAGGAUUUUCCAGCCAGUUUGUGCAAAAAUAACAUUAAAAACUAUAGUGGAACCCCCGACUUAGGAAAUUAAUUCAUUCCCGAGGGUCUUUCGUAAGUCGAAAAUUUUCGUAAGUCAAAGCACCCAUCGCGUGUUUUGACUGAGGCGAUGCUGAACGAUCUGUUCAUCCCAGUGUGGAGUCCAUGCAACUCUGGCCCACAAUAAAUGAAAAACAUAAAAAUGACAAACAGUUUCCCUCAACAGCCACUUCAAAAUCAUACGUAAUAGUGGGGUAAAACUGAAAGUAUGAAGCAAAGUAUAGUAAAAAUAAACUACUGAUAAUUACUCAAAAUAUUUAAAUCUUCACUAAGAUGGGUCAAUUACAAAACACAUAUUCAUAAAAAAGUAACUUUUCCCAGGAUAGCUGAAAACACUAUUUAACGUGCCGCCUUAGGUGACGAACUCAUUAUAAACAUAACACAAAAUCUCUAACAUUUACACGUACCUAAAAGACAAAAUGCAGCAGCAGGCCUCUCUGCUGUGGAGGGUGAGGAGUGACAAAAUGAAUUAAUUAAAUACACCAUUAAAUAAUUAAUUAAAUGCCCAUUCGUUUCAUUUACAACAUUUACUAAAUUAUUUAUUUCAAUUUUUAAUUAAUUAUUGACACGUUUGAUUAAUUAUUUAAUGAUGAAUUUGUCAUACAUCUGUGUUCAUGAAUUCAUUUUAUCUGUCAGCCUUAUCCAUCAAGCUCAGGGGGCGGGGUUAAUGCUGCCACUGCAGCUUGUCUAACAUCUGAUUGGUUACCCUGCAAAGUAAGUGAAGACAGGGCCUAAAUAAUCAAUUGCUAUGAACUGGUGUGUGGACUUGGGGCAGCCAGGUAUCCCAGAAUGCAUUUCAAAACACAAUGUUUUCUACAGUCAUUGGAGCAAUCGUGCUGGCGCCCUAAAAUGUAAGUAAAGUUUUAAAAUACCGCGUUUUUCUGUCACCAACUACAUUUUUAAUAAUUUUUUAGCCACAAAUGUAGUAAUGUAAUCUUCACGUUUGUUCAGGUUGUGAAAAUUCAGCACAGGCGAUGUUUUCGGUGAUGUCGCUAGCUCUGCUAACAGUCAGCUGACAGAGUGUACUGAGCUCACAGCCCCGGUGUUCUAGCUUAGCUGAUUUUGACAAUAACUGGGAAGAUUAACAUAAAGUGACUGACCUGGGUUAAAGAUGACAAACAGGAUUUAAAAGGCAGUUAGAAAACUACAGAGCACUUUAUCAGUGGCUGAUUAUCCAAUCACUGGCACACAGCUUUAAAACCACUGAGUUUUAGCUCUCAGUGGUUAAACAUUGGACUCAAUUCACUCAGGUUCUGUCUGUCAGGUUGUGCUUACUUCGCUGUUUUAUUUACAGCUGAGCAAAUCGGUUUGGCACAGAUUAAAGUUAAGUUUCAUGACUGCGUAGUUUUACUGAAGUUUAUUGUCUCACUGGCACACAUGUUAGACUGAAACAUUCGGUUUUCUUUAUCUGGUGUUCGUAUGUGUUACGUUUUUUUCUUUUUAAUCGUGAAUUUUGAAUUAAAACUAACAUUAAAAAUCUUUUUUAUAUGAGGAUGUCAAUGGAAAAUUGUACUUAGUAGUCAGUAUAAGCUUUUAAUGAUAUAAGUUUACAUGUGAUAGAACACUGCAUGAUGACCUUUGUAUGACUUAGACUGUUGUCCACUAUAAGAUUUGUUUCUGUUUUAUAAAUUCUUUCCCACAGCGAUAAUAGCUGAACAAGCAGUUUAUCUCCUACCAGGAAGAGGAGAGCUGGACACUUUUAUCAGCGCUCCCUCACAAGAAGAGGGGCCGCGUCCUUCAGAAUCACACACACACACAAAAUACACCUAACAUACGCACAUACAUACGCACCAACAUUCCUCUGUCUAUUCACUAUUGUAUUACUUUUGUAUAUAAAUAAAAACCCGGGCAGUGGCAGAGCGCACAUCGCAGGGCCCCCACUCUGGUGUGAGCGUUCUGUGAUCGCCCUUGCAAGUAAAAACUGCAGCGUGUGUGUCUCCACUCUCUGACUCUCAGCUGAAGAAGUGUCUCUUAGAAUAAAUCUCUUGACAGAGGAGGAACGAGAAAGCACAUUUUCCACCGAGAGGAGCAGCAUCUGAACCAGCAUGCUGAUCAUGAAGACUCCAGUCUGUCCAGAAAUAUC
Long non-coding RNA from Astatotilapia calliptera (eastern happy), 7136 nucleotides. NCBI's taxonomy places the organism in Eukaryota, Metazoa, Chordata, Actinopteri, Cichliformes, Cichlidae. The record is from Ensembl.